GUGCAUCAGCCCUGCAGGGGCAGCUAGCUGAAGAACAGAGCCAGAACCUACGAAUAAGUUCUGGGUAUUGUUUCGAAAACAGCACAAGUAUUCAACAGACGUCACAGAUUUUUCACCAUUUCUCUGUAUGUACAAUAAAUGCUCGGUCCUGUA
Long non-coding RNA from Ornithodoros turicata, 153 nucleotides. RefSeq lists it as uncharacterized. The record is from RefSeq and is a predicted model, not a curated record. NCBI's taxonomy places the organism in Eukaryota, Metazoa, Arthropoda, Arachnida, Ixodida, Argasidae. The transcript is spliced from 2 exons.